Molecule: transfer RNA, 100 nt
Filed under: Pyrinomonadaceae bacterium
Lineage: Bacteria; Pseudomonadati; Acidobacteriota; Blastocatellia; Blastocatellales; Pyrinomonadaceae
Description: tRNA-Sec
Rfam family: Selenocysteine transfer RNA
Source: RNAcentral
GGAGGCGCAUCUGUUCUGGUGAAUGGCGCGGUCUUCAAAACCGUUUUGUGAGACUGUGAGAGCAGGCUCAGGUGGGUUCGAUUCCCACACGCCUCCGCCA